GGCAAUUCGGUCAUUUCACAACCUCUCUCUGUAGUAGUAGUAGUACUACUACUAAUACGAGAGCUCAUCACUCAUGGCGCCCUUCGUUCUCUCUCUCUCUCUCUCUCUCUAUAUCCCUCGCAAUCCUCGAUUCCUCAAAACCCUAAACCCUAAUCCUAAAAUCGAAGGAACCCUAGGUCUCCGUAUCGCGAUUCCUCGCGCCAUUGGAUGAUCCGGAGGGUGCCGCGCUCGAUCGACGUAAGAAGGUAGGGUUUUUGAUCACGGAUUGGGCCUAGGAAGCCCUGGAACAUCGGGGUUUUGGACGUGGGAGAAAGGGAGCAGAGUUGAAUUUUGGAGCUGUGGAGGAUAUAGAGAGAGAGAGAGAGAGAGUGUGUGUGUGUGUGUAUAAAAUAGUGUGGAAAAGAUGUUGUGGAGGGUGGGGACGGGGGGGAAAAGGAGGGGAUUUUUUUGGUUUUUUUUUUUGUGUUUUUGGUUGAGGGAUUAGAUUAAGGGAACAGUUGUGGAUGGCGAGGAUUAGUUUAAUCCCCGCGUAUCUUGCAAUAUCUUGAGGGUUUUAGCCCAAAUCUCUCCCAUUCGCUUCAUUGGAUCUCUCUUUGUUGUGUGUGUGUGAGAGAGAGAGAGAGAGGGAGUGGCGGGGUCUCUUCUUCUUGUUCCUUUCUCUUCGUUGUGGCAAUCGUUGACACUGUGGUUAGCUCAUUUGCGCUCUCUACUUCUCUUUCAUUUUGGGGUGGUUUUAGCCCCAAUCUACUCUACCCUUUUCUCUCUCAUGGACCGCAGUUUCGAUUUGGGCAAUUGGUUUGGUUGAAGCAGGAGGCAGGGAAAUCGCAGAGAAACGCCAAAGUUAUCAUCUUUAGCUCUCUAGGAGGAGGGAAAUGGAAGAGAGAGGCGCAAAUGAGGGGUUUUUGAUGCGGAGGAUUUGAAAAGGUGGGGUUUUUGGGUUGAUGGGUUCGACGGAGAUGGACGUUGGAGGCGGCGGCGGCGGAGGAGGAGGAGGAAGAGGGGGUGGGUGGCGGGGGCAGGGGC
This 1023-nucleotide long non-coding RNA is filed under the name Ananas comosus (pineapple). RNAcentral's name for it is "long non-coding RNA (ACOM_LNC023710)". Lineage: Eukaryota; Viridiplantae; Streptophyta; Magnoliopsida; Poales; Bromeliaceae. The record is from RNAcentral.